Molecule: long non-coding RNA, 344 nt
Organism: Galeopterus variegatus (Sunda flying lemur)
Lineage: Eukaryota; Metazoa; Chordata; Mammalia; Dermoptera; Cynocephalidae
Exons: 2
Source: RefSeq, a predicted model, not a curated record
GCGGUACCUAUGCCAUUCCAGCUGAGGACAGGACAUGCACGCCUGCCUUUGAAGACAGGACAAGCCUGGACACACCAGAUCCCCAAGACCAGGGUCCGCAACAGGGGUGACAGCACAGGUGGCUGUAGCAGGAGCUUUUAGCUGGACCACACAGCAGACAUGGACAUCGUGACCAAGACAGUUGUCCUCACACCAUGAAGGCCAUAGUGCAGACAACGGAGAGUGGCCACUUGGUUCUGCAAUGUCAGAAAGCAGAGACUAACCUUUAAAGCCCAUUAAAUAGGUUCAGGGAGCCUAUUUUGCCUUUCUUUACUGCGGUUUAAAUAAAGAGCCAUUAAAUCUGA